AGCGUAGACGGAUGGACAAGUCUGAUGUGAAAGGCUGGGGCUCAACCCCAGGACUGCAUUGGAAACUGCCCGUCUUGAGUGCCGGAGAGGUAAGCGGAAUUCCUAGUGUAGCGGUGAAAUGCGUAGAUAUUAGGAGGAACACCAGUGGCGAAGGCGGCUUACUGGACGGUAACUGACGUUGAGGCUCGAAAGCGUGGGGAGCAAACA
RNAcentral lists this ribosomal RNA (207 nucleotides) under uncultured bacterium. RNAcentral's name for it is "partial 16S ribosomal RNA". It matches the Rfam family "Bacterial small subunit ribosomal RNA", at positions 568 to 774 of the family's 1533-position model. The record is from RNAcentral.